CAGCCAAGGGAACGGGCUU
This 19-nucleotide non-coding RNA is filed under the name Arabidopsis thaliana (thale cress). Lineage: Eukaryota; Viridiplantae; Streptophyta; Magnoliopsida; Brassicales; Brassicaceae. The record is from RNAcentral. RNAcentral also lists the same sequence under 2 other names.